RNAcentral lists this ribosomal RNA (424 nucleotides) under Verrucomicrobiota bacterium. Its description in RNAcentral is "Verrucomicrobia bacterium partial 16S ribosomal RNA". It matches the Rfam family "Bacterial small subunit ribosomal RNA", at positions 355 to 776 of the family's 1533-position model. Lineage: Bacteria; Pseudomonadati; Verrucomicrobiota. The record is from RNAcentral.
UGAGGAAUAUUGGUCAAUGGGCGAGAGCCUGAACCAGCCAAGUAGCGUGCAGGAUGACGGCCCUAUGGGUUGUAAACUGCUUUUAUAUGGGAAUAAAGUGAGGGACGUGUCCCUUAUUGCAUGUACCAUACGAAUAAGGACCGGCUAAUUCCGUGCCAGCAGCCGCGGUAAUACGGAAGGUCCAGGCGUUAUCCGGAUUUAUUGGGUUUAAAGGGAGCGUAGGCUGUUUGUUAAGCGUGUUGUGAAAUGUAAGAGCUCAACUUUUAGAUUGCAGCGCGAACUGGCAGACUUGAGUGCGCACAACGUAGGCGGAAUUCAUGGUGUAGCGAUGAAAUGCUUAGAUAUCAUGACGAACUCCGAUUGCGAAGGCAGCUUACGGGAGCGCAACUGACGCUAAAGCUCGAAGGUGCGGGUAUCGAACAGG